GAUAAUGUGGCCGAGAGUUAAGCGUUGGAUUGUAAAUCCAUUUUAUGGGGGUUCGAGUCCUUCCGUUAUCA
Molecule: transfer RNA, 71 nt
Filed under: Balanoglossus carnosus
Lineage: Eukaryota; Metazoa; Hemichordata; Enteropneusta; Ptychoderidae
Description: tRNA-Tyr
Rfam family: tRNA
About the family: Transfer RNA (tRNA) molecules are approximately 80 nucleotides in length. Their secondary structure includes four short double-helical elements and three loops (D, anti-codon, and T loops).
Source: RNAcentral